AUGGCUGUCGUCAGCUCGUGUCGUGAGAUGUUGGGUUAAGUCCCGCAACGAGCGCAACCCUUGCCUUUAGUUGCCAGCAUUAAGUUGGGCACUCUAGAGGGACUGCCGAGGAUAACUCGGAGGGAAGGUGGGGAUGACGUCAAAUCAUCAUGCCCCUUAUGCUUAGGGCUACACACGUGCUACAAUGGGUGGUACAGAGGGUUGCCAAGCCGCGAGGUGGAGCUAAUCCCUUAAAGCCAUUCUCAGUUCGGAUUGUAGGCUGAAACUCGCCUACAUGAAGCUGGAGUUACUAGUAAUCGCAGAUCAGAAUGCUGCGGUGAAUGCGUUCCCGGGUCUUGUACACACCGCCCGUA
RNAcentral lists this ribosomal RNA (353 nucleotides) under Paraclostridium bifermentans. Its description in RNAcentral is "bacterial SSU rRNA". It matches the Rfam family "Bacterial small subunit ribosomal RNA", at positions 1045 to 1398 of the family's 1533-position model. The record is from RNAcentral. Lineage: Bacteria; Bacillati; Bacillota; Clostridia; Peptostreptococcales; Peptostreptococcaceae.